GACGUAGGGGGCCAGCGUUGUUCGGAAUUACUGGGCGUAAAGGGUUCGUAGGCGGUGUAGCAAGUCGGGAGUGAAAUCUCUGGGCUUAACCCAGAGGCUGCUUCCGAAACUGCUGUGCUUGAGUGUGGGAGAGGCGCGUGGAAUUGCAGGUGUAGCGGUGAAAUGCGUAGAUAUCUGGAGGAACACCGGUGGCGAAGGCGGGGUCCUGGGCCAGUACUGACGCUGAGGAGCGAAAGCGUGGGGAGCAAACAGG
RNAcentral lists this ribosomal RNA (253 nucleotides) under uncultured bacterium. RNAcentral describes it as "partial 16S ribosomal RNA". It matches the Rfam family "Bacterial small subunit ribosomal RNA", at positions 524 to 776 of the family's 1533-position model. The record is from RNAcentral.